AAAGGGACUUUCCAGCUAUCAGUACACUAUCUCACAAUUACCCUUGAACCAGAAGACAAUGAAUGAUUUGCUAAACAGAUGGCAUAGUCUAUGACAUGCAUCAUAUGUGUGAGCAAUCACAGAAGACUCCUUCCUGUUGCCUUGUGAAGAAGGCUCCUGCUUCCCCUUCACCUUCUGCGCGAUUGUAAGUUUCCUGAGGCCUCCUAGCCAUGCUUCUUGUUCACUCUGCG
RNAcentral lists this long non-coding RNA (230 nucleotides) under Homo sapiens (human). Its description in RNAcentral is "non-protein coding RNF217-AS1:4". Lineage: Eukaryota; Metazoa; Chordata; Mammalia; Primates; Hominidae. The record is from RNAcentral.